This 714-nucleotide ribosomal RNA is filed under the name uncultured Pseudoramibacter sp. Its description in RNAcentral is "bacterial SSU rRNA". It matches the Rfam family "Bacterial small subunit ribosomal RNA", at positions 28 to 739 of the family's 1533-position model. The record is from RNAcentral. Lineage: Bacteria; Bacillati; Bacillota; Clostridia; Eubacteriales; Eubacteriaceae.
GACGAACGCUGGCGGUAUGCUUAACACAUGCAAGUCGAACGAGAAGUCUUUUAUUGAACCUUCGGGAGAUAUAAGAGACAGACAGUGGCGAACGGGUGAGUAACGCGUGGGCAACCUACCUAUCGGAGCGGGAUAGCCUCGAGAAAUCGGGAGUAAAACCGCAUAACACGGAUAUAUCGCAUGAUGAAUCCGUCAAAACUCCGGUGCCGAUAGAUGGGCCCGCGUCUGAUUAGCUAGUUGGUAAGGUAAGGGCUUACCAAGGCAACGAUCAGUAGCCGGUCUGAGAGGGCGAACGGCCACACUGGAACUGAGACACGGUCCAGACUCCUACGGGAGGCAGCAGUGGGGAAUAUUGCGCAAUGGGGGCAACCCUGACGCAGCAAUACCGCGUGAGUGAAGAAGGUUUUCGGAUCGUAAAGCUCUGUUAUUGGGGAAGAAGCAGUGACGGUACCCAAUGAGGAAGUCCCGGCUAACUACGUGCCAGCAGCCGCGGUAAUACGUAGGGGACGAGCGUUGUCCGGAAUCACUGGGGCGUAAAGGGCGCGUAGGCGGUUUUAUAAGUCAGAUGUGAAAGGUUCCGGGCUCAACCGGUGACGUGCAUUUGAAUUUGUAAGACUUGAGACUGAAGAGGCAAGCGGAAUUCCCAGUGUAUCGUUGAAAUACGUAGAUUUGAGGAAAAAUAUCGAUGGCGUAGCCUGUUAGUUGGGAAAAAAU